GAUGAACGCUGGCGGCGUGCCUAAUACAUGCAAGUCGAGCGAACGGACGAGAAGCUUGCUUCUCUGAUGUUAGCGGCGGACGGGUGAGUAACACGUGGAUACCCUACCUAUAAGACUGGGAUAACUUCGGGAAACCGGAGCUAAUACCGGAUAAUAUCUUGCACCGCAUGGUUCACAAGUGAAAGUCGGUCUUUCUGUCACUUAUCGAUGGUUCCGCGCUGCAUUAGCUAGUUGGUAAGGUAACGGCUUACCAAGGCAACGAUGCAUAGCCGACCUGCGAGGGUGAUCGGCCACACUGGAGCUGAGACACGGUCCAGACUCCUACGGGAGGGAGCAGUAGGGAAUCUUCCGCAAUGGGCGAAAGCCUGACGGAGCAACGCCGCGUGAGUUAUGAAGGUCUUCGGAGCGUAAAACUCUGUUAUUAGGGAAGAACAGAUGUGUAAGUAACUGUGCACAUCUUGACGGUAACUAAUCAGAAAGCCACGGCUAACUACGUG
This 497-nucleotide ribosomal RNA is filed under the name uncultured bacterium. RNAcentral's name for it is "partial 16S ribosomal RNA". It matches the Rfam family "Bacterial small subunit ribosomal RNA", at positions 28 to 507 of the family's 1533-position model. The record is from RNAcentral.